This 548-nucleotide ribosomal RNA is filed under the name uncultured bacterium. Its description in RNAcentral is "bacterial SSU rRNA". It matches the Rfam family "Bacterial small subunit ribosomal RNA", at positions 355 to 896 of the family's 1533-position model. The record is from RNAcentral.
UGGGGAAUUUUGGACAAUGGGGGCAACCCUGAUCCAGCAAUGCCGCGUGUGUGAAGAAGGCCUUCGGGUUGUAAAGCACUUUUGUCCGGAAAGAAAUCCCUUGCCCUAAUACGGCGGGGGGAUGACGGUACCGGAAGGAUAAGCACCGGCUAACUACGUGCCAGCAGCCGCGGUAAUACGUAGGGUGCGAGCGUUAAUCGGAAUUACUGGGCGUAAAGCGUGCGCAGGCGGUUUUGUAAGACAGGCGUGAAAUCCCCGAGCUCAACUUGGGAAUGGCGCUUGUGACUGCAAGGCUAGAGUAUGUCAGAGGGGGGUAGAAUUCCACGUGUAGCAGUGAAAUGCGUAGAGAUGUGGAGGAAUACCGAUGGCGAAGGCAGCUCCCUGGGACGUCACUGACGCUCAUGCACGAAAGCGUGGGGAGCAAACAGGAUUAGAUACCCUGGUAGUCCACGCCCUAAGCGAUGUCAACUAGUUGUUGGGGAUUCAUUUCUUCAGUAACGUAGCUAACGCGUGAAGUUGACCGCCUGGGGAGUACGGUCGCAAGAUUA